GCCUCCCCUCCUGAUCGUACUCCAUCAUUAUUUGAUGCUGGUAGUUCCACACAUGCGGCAUGCAUGUGAGACCACGAAAUAUCCUAUUGGAUGAUGCACAUGUAAUAGAAAUACAUUAUGAAUAUAUAAGAGUGUGCAAUAACUAUACAAAAAAUAAAUAAAUAAAUAAUUGACUUAAUAAAAAUAUUUUCUCACUAGAAUCAUGUGAUGUGGAUGCCGGUGGAGCC
This 227-nucleotide long non-coding RNA is filed under the name Elaeis guineensis (African oil palm). RNAcentral's name for it is "long non-coding RNA (EGUI_LNC068861)". The record is from RNAcentral. Lineage: Eukaryota; Viridiplantae; Streptophyta; Magnoliopsida; Arecales; Arecaceae.